Molecule: ribosomal RNA, 492 nt
Filed under: uncultured bacterium
Lineage: Bacteria
Description: partial 16S ribosomal RNA
Rfam family: Bacterial small subunit ribosomal RNA
Source: RNAcentral
AGUGAACGCUGGCGGUAGGCCUAACACAUGCAAGUCGAACGGCAGCACAGUAAGAGCUUGCUCUUACGGGUGGCGAGUGGCGGACGGGUGAGGAAUACAUCGGAAUCUACUUUUUCGUGGGGGAUAACGUAGGGAAACUUACGCUAAUACCGCAUACGACCUACGGGUGAAAGCAGGGGAUCUUCGGACCUUGCGCGAUUGAAUAAGCCGAUGUCGGAUUAGCUAGUUGGCGGGGUAAAGGCCCACCAAGGCGACGAUCCGUAGCUGGUCCGAGAGGAUGAUCAGCCACACUGGAACUGAGACACGGUCCAGACUCCUACGGGAGGCAGCAGUGGGGAAUAUUGGACAAUGGGCGCAAGCCUGAUCCAGCCAUACCGCGUGGGUGAAGAAGGCCUUCGGGUUGUAAAGCCCUUUUGUUGGGAAAGAAAAGCAGCAGGUUAAUACCCCGCUGUUCUGACGGUACCCAAAGAAUAAGCACCGGCUAACUUCGUG